AUGUCACAGUGCGAGGCUCAUUGUUGGUUGGCAUCCCUGGGAAAGGCACAGGAGCUGAGCUGGGCCUGUGAAUGAAUAGAAUCUGGACAGGGAUGAGGCAAGGAGACAGGAGUGAUCUCUCCACCCUGGGCCCAGGUCUCUGUUAAUAUGGAACCAGUUCAUCACCCAAGAUAGGGGUCCUGCAGAGCAAGAAUGUUUCCCAGAAUGGCUGAUAAUGGUCUCCUCAGUGAAAAUUGAAUGACCUCUUGACUGUGGAUGGUGACAAUGAAGUCAAGUGCCAAGGGUGCUGAGUAAUGGGUGUGCAAUGUCAUAUUGCCUUAAAAGUACACAUUGGGAUUCACAGAACAAGGACAAAAGAGAGACUUCCACUGUGUCCUUUCUCUGUGGGAAGAAGGGUGGUCAUAUGAAAUCUGGGACUUUUUUCACAGGUGUUGUGUUGACAAGGAAUCAGUUCUUUGCACAGAGGUCUAUGUUAAUACGGAAUCAGUUUCUCACCCAAG
This 500-nucleotide long non-coding RNA is filed under the name Homo sapiens (human). RNAcentral's name for it is "HSALNT0373251". The record is from RNAcentral. Lineage: Eukaryota; Metazoa; Chordata; Mammalia; Primates; Hominidae.